RNAcentral lists this ribosomal RNA (253 nucleotides) under uncultured bacterium. RNAcentral describes it as "partial 16S ribosomal RNA". It matches the Rfam family "Bacterial small subunit ribosomal RNA", at positions 524 to 776 of the family's 1533-position model. The record is from RNAcentral.
UACGGAGGGAGCUAGCGUUAUUCGGAAUUACUGGGCGUAAAGCGCACGUAGGCGGCUUUGUAAGUCAGAGGUGAAAGCCCAGAGCUCAACUCUGGAAUUGCCUUUUAGACUGCAUCGCUUGAAUCAUGGAGAGGUCAGUGGAAUUCCGAGUGUAGAGGUGAAAUUCGUAGAUAUUCGGAAGAACACCAGUGGCGAAGGCGGCUGACUGGACAUGUAUUGACGCUGAGGUGCGAAAGCGUGGGGAGCAAACAGG